RNAcentral lists this ribosomal RNA (433 nucleotides) under uncultured bacterium. RNAcentral's name for it is "partial 16S ribosomal RNA". It matches the Rfam family "Bacterial small subunit ribosomal RNA", at positions 29 to 507 of the family's 1533-position model. The record is from RNAcentral.
AGCGAACGCUGGCGGCAGGCCUAACACAUGCAAGUCGAACGAACUCUUCGGAGUUAGUGGCGGACGGGUGAGUAACACGUGGGAACGUGCCUUUUGGUUCGGAAUAACUCAGGGAAACUUGUGCUAAUACCGAGUGUGCCCUUCUGGGGAAAGAUUUAUCGCCAUUAGAGCGGCCCGCGUCUGAUUAGCUAGUUGGUGAGGUAACGGCUCACCAAGGCGACGAUCAGUAGCUGGUCUGAGAGGAUGACCAGCCACACUGGGACUGAGACACGGCCCAGACUCCUACGGGAGGCAGCAGUGGGGAAUCUUGCGCAAUGGGCGAAAGCCUGACGCAGCCAUGCCGCGUGAAUGAUGAAGGUCUUAGGAUUGUAAAAUUCUUUCACCGGGGACGAUAAUGACGGUACCCGGAGAAGAAGCCCCGGCUAACUUCGUG